UGCAAGUAGAACGCUGAAGGAGGAGCUUGCUUCUCUGGAUGAGUUGCGAACGGGUGAGUAACGCGUAGGUAACCUGCCUGGUAGCGGGGGAUAACUAUUGGAAACGAUAGCUAAUACCGCAUAAUAGUAGAUGUUGCAUGACAUUUGCUUAAAAGGUGCAAUUGCAUCACUACCAGAUGGACCUGCGUUGUAUUAGCUAGUUGGUGGGGUAACGGCUCACCAAGGCGACGAUACAUAGCCGACCUGAGAGGGUGAUCGGCCACACUGGGACUGAGACACGGCCCAGACUCCGACGGGAGGCAGCAGUAGGGAAUCUUCGGCAAUGGACGGAAGUCUGACCGAGCAACGCCGCGUGAGUGAAGAAGGUUUUCGGAUCGUAAAGCUCUGUUGUAAGAGAAGAACGAGUGUGAGAGUGGAAAGUUCACACUGUGCCGGUAUCUUACCAGAAAGGGACGGUUAACUACGUGCCAGCAGCCGCGGUAAUACGUAGGUCCCGAGCGUUGUCCGGAUUUAUUGGGCGUAAAGCGAGCGCAGGCGGUUAGAUAAGUCUGAAGUUAAAGGCUGUGGCUUAACCAUAGUACGCUUUGGAAACUGUUUAACUUGAGUGCAAGAGGGGAGAGUGGAAUUCCAUGUGUAGCGGUGAAAUGCGUAGAUAUAUGGAGGAACACCGGUGGCGAAAGCGGCUCUCUGGCUUGUAACUGACGCUGAGGCUCGAAAGCGUGGGGAGCAAACAGGAUUAGAUACCCUGGUAGUCCACGCCGUAAACGAUGAGUGCUAGGUGUUAGACCCUUUCCGGGGUUUAGUGCCGCAGCUAACGCAUUAAGCACUCCGCCUGGGGAGUACGACCGCAAGGUUGAAACUCAAAGGAAUUGACGGGGGCCCGCACAA
Molecule: ribosomal RNA, 888 nt
Filed under: uncultured bacterium
Lineage: Bacteria
Description: bacterial SSU rRNA
Rfam family: Bacterial small subunit ribosomal RNA
Source: RNAcentral